CCUACGGGCGGCUGCAGUGGGGAAUAUUGCACAAUGGGCGCAAGCCUGAUGCAGCCAUGCCGCGUGUGUGAAGAAGGCCUUCGGGUUGUAAAGCACUUUCAGCGGGGAGGAAGGCGUUAAGGUUAAUAACCUUGGCGAUUGACGUUACCCGCAGAAGAAGCACCGGCUAACUCCGUGCCAGCAGCCGCGGUAAUACGGAGGGUGCAAGCGUUAAUCGGAAUUACUGGGCGUAAAGCGCACGCAGGCGGUCUGUCAAGUCGGAUGUGAAAUCCCCGGGCUCAACCUGGGAACUGCAUUCGAAACUGGCAGGCUAGAGUCUUGUAGAGGGGGGUAGAAUUCCAGGUGUAGCGGUGAAAUGCGUAGAGAUCUGGAGGAAUACCGGUGGCGAAGGCGGCCCCCUGGACAAAGACUGACGCUCAGGUGUGAAAGCGUGGGGAGCAAACAGGAUUAGAUACCCGGGUAGUC
This 465-nucleotide ribosomal RNA is filed under the name uncultured Klebsiella sp. Its description in RNAcentral is "bacterial SSU rRNA". It matches the Rfam family "Bacterial small subunit ribosomal RNA", at positions 338 to 795 of the family's 1533-position model. Lineage: Bacteria; Pseudomonadati; Pseudomonadota; Gammaproteobacteria; Enterobacterales; Enterobacteriaceae. The record is from RNAcentral.